Molecule: long non-coding RNA, 3589 nt
Organism: Hyla sarda
Lineage: Eukaryota; Metazoa; Chordata; Amphibia; Anura; Hylidae
Exons: 4
Source: RefSeq, a predicted model, not a curated record
AUGGGUUAUGUAAACAGAUCAUUUUCCCCCACCAAUCAUAUUUCAUAAAUGCCUUGUUAACUUCCUCUUUAUAUAUUCUUAUUUUUAUUUUAAUUAGGUCACUAAUCCUCCCUGGGAUCAAGAUCUCAGCUAUCCAGCCACUCAGGCACAUCCUCACUCCCAUAUCUGGUGGUAUCUGCAACUACUGUAGUAUCUGUGAAUGAAGAAGAUGUCCAGCGCAGUUGAAUUCCUGGACCUACAGAUCAAGAUUCAAGAACAUCGUCUUAUUACAGAUCUACAUCGUAAAAAGACAGCAACCAACAGCCUACUCCACUUCUCUCCUUUCCACCCGUUUCCACACACGUUGAGGUAUACCCACCGGUCAGUUCCUGAGAGCGAAGAGGAAUUGGAAUACAGUGGAAUCCUUCAAACUACAAUCCCAGGAUCUGUCUAGGAGAUUCUGUAAACGUGGGUAUCCCAAAAAGCUAAUUUCCCGGGCUUACCAGAGGGCAGCUGGAUCAAGGAGGGAGACAUUGCUGAUGCCUGCUGUAAAGACACCUGACGACAAACUUUGCAUAAUUUCAACAUACCAUAAUCAAUGGAACCAAAUGAAGUCCAUAUUUGAGAACCAUUGGAAUAUUCUCAGGUCUGACAAUAGAAUUCAUGCAAUUAUUCCUGAAAGACCAUUAGUGGUGUCCCGGAAAGCUCCCAAUUUACGCGACAUCUUGACACGCAGCCACUUCCAAAGACCUACUGUCAAUAUAGGGAGAGGAAUGAGGUACCAAGGUUCAUACGCGUGUGAUGAUUGCAACAUUUGCCAGCACAUGACAGCCACAAAGACUUUCAUUCAUCCCAACAGUGGCAAACAGUACCAGAUCAGGGGAUUUAUCAACUGUAAUACCAGCAAGGUGGUGUAUGCAUUGACCUGUCCAUGCCACAAAAUUUAUGUUGGCCAAACCAGCCAGCAAUUGCUAAAAUGCAUAUAAAAGCACUUAUCCACCAUCGCACUAGCUUGGAGAGAUGCUGCCCAGGAUAGAGCCUUAACAUCGGUUGCCUUACAUUUUCAUCAACACCAUUCAGGGCGUGUGGCCGGGCUAAAGGUCGUGGGAUUGGAGAGAGUCAUGACAGACCCUAGAGGGCGACGAAUAAACUACUUCAAUGCGAAUCCAAAUGGAUAUAUGAACUGAAAUCAGAAGCACCUAGGGGGCUCAAUGAGGAACUCUUGUUCACAGGAUUCCUGGAUAACUCACACUUACUUGGGCUACCCUGGUGAUUAACCCACUAGCGUUUGACUAUUGGACCCUACUCGGAACAACCCUGAAGAGGCUCCUGUGGAUCUUUGGGAACCUUCCAUUAUCCAUCGUCCUUGUCAUCCAUCAAUUGUGUCGCUUUUGGCCCCCUUGUCCAUAAUCUGGGGAUUGAUGGACCUAUUUAUCACCAAUACAAAGUGGAUGACUAUUCAGGCUCUGUAUAUUUAGAUCUUGUAUAUAUACAUGUUUUUCAUGUAUAGUAAUAGAUGAACAUUAUAUUUUUUCUUGACAUAUUUUACUAUUAUUUAAAUAUUUGACACUUGUUAGUAUUUAUAUUGUCCAAUUAGUGGAAUAAUUUUUUCGCUAUAGGUUAGCCCUCAAUGAACGCAGCUGAUGUGACCGAAUGUUAUGCCCCAGGUUGCCCCGCUACCCCAAAUAGUCCUGCCACCCAGAUUAGUCUAGUCCUCUUCGCCCCCUUUAGGAUUCCACACUUUAUCAGGUCCACUGACGGGGUCCUGACAGGUCUCCGGUUUGCAGUAUAGUCCCCCUUUAGCACGGUAAUCCAUGCAUCAAAAUCUCUUAAGUAAUUAUUUGCAUAAUAUUAGUUUAUUCUCUUUCUAUACCAAUGUGUCCUUUGCACAUGCGCCGUCCCCCUGUUCCUUUAUUUAGACUUGCGACUCUUGAAAGGGCCGCAAUCCUGUCAGCGCCUCCGGCGCAUGCGCUAUCUUCCUUGUGUACAUUUGCGACCAUUAGGAGGGCCGCGAUCCUCUCUGCAUCUACGCUUGUGAUUUUUUUGUUCUAUAAAUCUGCACAUGCGUGGCAACAUAAGUGCACGAGCGAUACUGGUGAUAUUGCGCAUGUGCGUAUUCUUGUGAGUGUCAUACUCAGCUGGCACAUGUGCAAUGUGUAUUCACUGCACUUGAUGCAUCACAAGUCCUAGCGCAUGCGCUGUAAACCAUUGAUUGGCCGGCAGCGUUGUGGGGAACUGACAAGGAUGACCGCUUCCGGUCCAUGGACACGUGAUCUGGUACCUUUACUUUAUUUCCCUUUUUCAUUUUACUUCUCUUUGGAGGGCGACUUUAUACUCUGCUUGCGGAGACACAUUUACACUCAUUAUUGUCAGGGUCUGGACUGGUAUGCGGGGAGGACACGGGAGUGGAUCCUCUGUGUCAGUGAGGCGAUGGCGUGGGCCGUACCAGGGGAACGGAAUCUUAGGGGUUACUGGUUUUCACCAGAGCCCACCGCAAAGUGGGAUGGACUUGCUGCGGCAGGUAACCCCCAGGUCGUUCCACCCGAUAGCGACUCAACCUCACUGACAGCUGAGACACGCGCGGUACACAAGGACAAGGCUAGGUCAGACGUAGCAGAAGGUCAAGGCAGGCGGCAAGGUUCGUAGUCAGGGGCAACAGCAAGGGGUCUGGAUACACAGGCUAGGGAUACACACAAAAUGCUUUCUCAGGGCACUAAGGCAAUAAGAUCCGGCGAGGACAGGAAGGGGAAGUGGGUUUAUAUGUGUGGGAGUGAUUGGGAACAGAUUGGACCAGGCACUAAUUAACAGUGCACUGGCCCUUUAAAUCUGAGUGACCCGGCGUGCGCGCCCUAGAGAGUGGGGCCGCGCGCGCCGGGACUGAUCAGCAGGAAACGGGAUGUGACCCGUGGGCAGGCAUGUCCCGCUGCGUGGAUCGCAUCCCUGCUGGAGGAAACAGAGCAGCGAGUCUGACCGGGGCGCUGCAACCAGGAGGUGAAUGCCGCGAGCGUUCCGUGGGAGGAGAGGGACCCGGAGUGCUCAGCGUGACAGUACCCCCCCCCCUUGGGUCUCCCCCUCUCUUUGGAACCAAGGAAUUUGUGGAUGAGUUCCUUGUCCAAAAUAUUGGCCUCAGGCUCCCAGGACCUCUCUUCAGGACCACAAUUCUCCCAGUCAAUUAAAAAAAAUCUUUUACCUCGGACAACUUUGGAGGCGAAGAUCUCCUUCACGGAGAAUACAUCAGAGGAUCCAGAGACAGGAGCAGGAACAGUGACCUUGGGAGAAUAGCGGUUAAGUAUGAGAGGUUUGAGAAGAGAAACAUGGAAAGAGUUGGGAAUACGAAGAGAAGAAGGAAGAUGGAACUUGUAGGAGACAGAAUUGAUUUGAUUUUUGAUUUUAAAUGGCCUGAGGUACCGAGGACCAAGCUUGUAGCUAAGGACACGGAAACGGAUGUAUUUGGCAGAGAGCCACACUUUGUCACCGGGGGCAAAGACAGGAGGAAUUCUUCUCUUUUCAUCAGCAUGUCUCUUCAUGCGAGAUGAGGCCAGUAAGAGCGACUUUUGAGUUUCCUUCCAGAUAGAGGAGAAGUCUUGUGUCAAUUCAUCUACGGCAGGAA